AUCAUUGUGCAGCGGCAGUAUUGCAGCCUAUGAGGUUUAUCUGAGGAGCUAUUAUUGCUGGUUGAAAACAUAACAAUAAAGCGUAAAUCUAACCUUUUGCUUGUCCAAGUCUGUAGGUAGCCUGGGCUA
Etheostoma cragini (Arkansas darter) is the source of this 129-nucleotide small nuclear RNA. RefSeq annotates it as U4 spliceosomal RNA. Lineage: Eukaryota; Metazoa; Chordata; Actinopteri; Perciformes; Percidae. The record is from RefSeq and is a predicted model, not a curated record. The transcript has a single exon.